Molecule: long non-coding RNA, 272 nt
Organism: Malurus melanocephalus (red-backed fairy wren)
Lineage: Eukaryota; Metazoa; Chordata; Aves; Passeriformes; Maluridae
Exons: 3
Source: RefSeq, a predicted model, not a curated record
UGGGAUACUUCUUCCACAGGAUUCCCAGAGGAGAGGAGCUUGAGAASCACUACUGGACCUUCAGAGACGGACUCGACCUGUCUUCAGGAUCACUGCUUCAAUGAGAGCACAUCCAUCAUUCCAACGGGACUGCAGCCACCACCCUGCCCAACAGUGUGUCAGCAUUUCCCAUUCUCAACCAUUGGCUGGAUAAAGCAGGAGGCUAUGAGGAAGAGGAAGAUGUCCCAGGACCCCCAGGCAGACAAUGAGCUGAGGAUGGAGACCAAGGAGGA